CUUCCAGGAAAAGUCUCUAAGCUUCAGUUACACAGGAAUCGUACCCGAAACCGACACAGGUGGUCAGGUCGAGUAGACCAAGGCGCUUGAGAGAACUCUGCUGAAGGAACUAGGCAAAAUGGUACCGUAACUUCGGGAGAAGGUACGCUGUUGUUGGUGAUGGAACUCGCUUCCUGAGCUGACGACAGCCGCAGAAACCAGGCCGCUGCAACUGUUUAUUAAAAACAUAGCACUCUGCAAACACGAAAGUGGACGUAUAGGGUGUGAUGCCUGCCCGGUGCUGGAAGGUUAAUUGAUGGGGUUAGCGUAAGCGAAGCUCUUGAUCGAAGCCCCAGUAAACGGCGGCCGUAACUAUAACGGUCCUAAGGUAGCGAAAUUCCUUGUCGGGUAAGUUCCGACCUGCACGAAUGGCAUAAUGAUGGCGGCGCUGUCUCCAGCAGAGGCUCAGUGAAAUCGAAAUCGCUGUGAAGAUGCAGUGUACCCGCGGCUAGACGGAAAGACCCCGUGAACCUUUACUGCAGCUUGACACUGAACUUUGACCUUACUUGUGUAGGAUAGGUGGGAGGCUUUGAAGCUGGAACGCUAGUUCCAGUGGAGCCGUCCUUGAAAUACCACCCUGGUAAUGUUGAGGUUCUAACUCUGUCCCGUGAUCCGGGACGAGGACCGUGUCUGGUGGGUAGUUUGACUGGGGCGGUCUCCUCCUAAAGAGUAACGGAGGAGUACGAAGGUGCGCUCAGCGUGGUCGGAAAUCACGCGUAGAGUAUAAAGGCAAAAGCGCGCUUAACUGCGAGACCCACAAGUCGAGCAGGUACGAAAGUAGGUCUUAGUGAUCCG
This 834-nucleotide ribosomal RNA is filed under the name Acinetobacter baumannii. RNAcentral's name for it is "partial 23S ribosomal RNA". It matches the Rfam family "Bacterial large subunit ribosomal RNA", at positions 1605 to 2422 of the family's 2925-position model. Lineage: Bacteria; Pseudomonadati; Pseudomonadota; Gammaproteobacteria; Moraxellales; Moraxellaceae. The record is from RNAcentral.